RNAcentral lists this ribosomal RNA (465 nucleotides) under Vreelandella stevensii. RNAcentral's name for it is "partial 16S ribosomal RNA". It matches the Rfam family "Bacterial small subunit ribosomal RNA", at positions 338 to 795 of the family's 1533-position model. The record is from RNAcentral. Lineage: Bacteria; Pseudomonadati; Pseudomonadota; Gammaproteobacteria; Oceanospirillales; Halomonadaceae.
CCUACGGGUGGCUGCAGUGGGGAAUAUUGGACAAUGGGCGAAAGCCUGAUCCAGCCAUGCCGCGUGUGUGAAGAAGGCCUUCGGGUUGUAAAGCACUUUCAGUGGGGAAGAAAGCCUUGGGGCUAAUACCCUCGAGGAAGGACAUCACCCACAGAAGAAGCACCGGCUAACUCCGUGCCAGCAGCCGCGGUAAUACGGAGGGUGCGAGCGUUAAUCGGAAUUACUGGGCGUAAAGCGCGCGUAGGCGGUCUGAUAAGCCGGUUGUGAAAGCCCCGGGCUCAACCUGGGAACGGCAUCCGGAACUGUCCGGCUAGAGUGCAGGAGAGGAAGGUAGAAUUCCCGGUGUAGCGGUGAAAUGCGUAGAGAUCGGGAGGAAUACCAGUGGCGAAGGCGGCCUUCUGGACUGACACUGACGCUGAGGUGCGAAAGCGUGGGUAGCAAACAGGAUUAGAUACCCUUGUAGUC